This 292-nucleotide ribosomal RNA is filed under the name uncultured bacterium. Its description in RNAcentral is "partial 16S ribosomal RNA". It matches the Rfam family "Bacterial small subunit ribosomal RNA", at positions 505 to 796 of the family's 1533-position model. The record is from RNAcentral.
GUGUCAGCAGCCGCGGUAAAACGUAGGGGGCGAGCGUUAUCCGGAUUUACUGGGCGUAAAGCGCAUGUAGGCGGUGGGAUAAGUCAGACGUGAAAGCUCCCGGCUUAACUGGGAGAGGUCGUUUGAAACUAUCCGACUGGAGGUUGGAAGAGGAGAGUGGAAUUCCCGGUGUAGUGGUGGAAUGCGUAGAUAUCGGGAGGAACACCAGUGGCGAAAGCGGCUCUCUGGACCAAUUCUGACGCUGAGAUGCGAAAGCGUGGGGAGCAAACGGGAUUAGAUACCCUGGUAGUCC